This 253-nucleotide ribosomal RNA is filed under the name uncultured bacterium. RNAcentral's name for it is "partial 16S ribosomal RNA". It matches the Rfam family "Bacterial small subunit ribosomal RNA", at positions 524 to 776 of the family's 1533-position model. The record is from RNAcentral.
UACGGAGGGUGCAAGCGUUAUCCGGAUUCACUGGGUUUAAAGGGUGCGUAGGUGGGUCUGUAAGUCAGUGGUGAAAUCUUCGAGCUUAACUCGGAAACUGCCAUUGAUACUAUAGAUCUUGAAUUUUCUGGAGGUAAGCGGAAUAUGUCAUGUAGCGGUGAAAUGCUUAGAUAUGACAUAGAACACCAAUUGCGAAGGCAGCUCGCUACAGGAAUAUUGACACUGAGGCACGAAAGCGUGGGGAUCAAACAGG